RNAcentral lists this ribosomal RNA (326 nucleotides) under uncultured eukaryote. RNAcentral's name for it is "partial 18S ribosomal RNA". It matches the Rfam family "Eukaryotic small subunit ribosomal RNA", at positions 1470 to 1796 of the family's 1831-position model. The record is from RNAcentral.
CCCUUAGAUGUCCUGGGCCGCACGCGCGCUUCACUGAACGGAUCAGCGCGUUUUCCCUUCCCGAGAGGGACGGGUAACCUGCUGAACCCCGUUCGUGGUAGGGAUCGGGGCUUGCAAUUAUUCCCCGUGAACCAGGAAUGCCCAGUAAGUGCAAGUCAUAAGCUUGCGUUGAUUACGUCCCUGCCCUUUGUACACACCGCCCGUCGCUACUACCGAUUGAACGUUUUAGUGAGGUACUCGGACUGAGCCUCAGAAGAUUCACGUCUUUUGUGCUGCUCGGGAAGAUUCCCAAACUUGAGCGUUUAGAGGAAGUAAAAGUCGUAACA